GCCCCCGUAGCUCAGCUGGAUAGAGCGACGGCCUUCUAAGCCGUGGGUCGCAGGUUCGAGUCCUGCCGGGGGCA
Molecule: transfer RNA, 74 nt
Filed under: Solirubrobacteraceae bacterium
Lineage: Bacteria; Bacillati; Actinomycetota; Thermoleophilia; Solirubrobacterales; Solirubrobacteraceae
Also listed under: 2 other names
Description: tRNA-Arg
Rfam family: tRNA
About the family: Transfer RNA (tRNA) molecules are approximately 80 nucleotides in length. Their secondary structure includes four short double-helical elements and three loops (D, anti-codon, and T loops).
Source: RNAcentral